UACGGAGGGUGCGAGCGUUAAUCGGAAUUACUGGGCGUAAAGCGCGCGUAGGCGGUUUGUUAAGUCGGAUGUGAAAGCCCCGGGCUCAACCUGGGAACUGCACCCGAUACUGGCCGACUUGAGUGUGAGAGAGGGAGGUAGAAUUCCAUGUGUAGCGGUGAAAUGCGUAGAUAUAUGGAGGAAUACCGGUGGCGAAGGCGGCCUCCUGGCUCGACACUGACGCUGAGGUGCGAAAGCGUGGGUAGCAAACAGG
RNAcentral lists this ribosomal RNA (253 nucleotides) under uncultured bacterium. RNAcentral describes it as "partial 16S ribosomal RNA". It matches the Rfam family "Bacterial small subunit ribosomal RNA", at positions 524 to 776 of the family's 1533-position model. The record is from RNAcentral.